RNAcentral lists this unclassified non-coding RNA (373 nucleotides) under Hevea brasiliensis (rubber tree). The record is from RNAcentral. Lineage: Eukaryota; Viridiplantae; Streptophyta; Magnoliopsida; Malpighiales; Euphorbiaceae.
AUUGGAUAUGAAGCUGAGAGAUGAUCUUGAGCGGUUGAAGAAGAUUUCCUUAUGUUCUUAUUAAAUGGCUUCUUCUUUUAAGGGGAAAAAGCUAUUUCCUAUUGCUGCAUUGCAUGUUUGAUUUGUUUUGCAACUGUCUGAUUCUUUGUUGCAGAAGCCACCGCGGUCUUCGUCACUACUAGGGUCUUCGAGUGCGUGGACAGCACACCAAAGCCACUGGACACAGGGGGAAGACUGUUGGCGUCUCCAAGAAGCGAUAAUUUAGUGGUUAUAACAUUUGUGUUUCUGAUUUUCUGAAUAUUUUACAUGUUCCAAGUAUUUUAUUUUUUUUGAAAGAACUUGGAAAGUCUUGGAAUUUUGAUAUCAGCGAAGA